GGGGAAUAUUGCACAAUGGGCGAAAGCCUGAUGCAGCAACGCCGCGUGAGCGAUGAAGGCCUUUGGGUCGUAAAGCUCUGUCCUUGGGGAAGAAAAAAAUGACGGUACCCUUGGAGGAAGCCCCGGCUAACUACGUGCCAGCAGCCGCGGUAAUACGUAGGGGGCAAGCGUUAUCCGGAAUUAUUGGGCGUAAAGAGUGCGUAGGUGGUUUUGUAAGCGCGGGGUGAAAGGCUAUGGCUCAACCAUAGUAAGCCUUGCGAACUGUAAGACUUGAGUGCAGGAGAGGAAAGCGGAAUUCCUAGUGUAGCGGUGAAAUGCGUAGAUAUUAGGAGGAACACCAGUGGCGAAGGCGGCUUUCUGGACUGUAACUGACACUGAGGCACGAAAGCGUGGGGAGCAAACA
RNAcentral lists this ribosomal RNA (403 nucleotides) under uncultured Eubacteriales bacterium. RNAcentral describes it as "bacterial SSU rRNA". It matches the Rfam family "Bacterial small subunit ribosomal RNA", at positions 356 to 774 of the family's 1533-position model. Lineage: Bacteria; Bacillati; Bacillota; Clostridia; Eubacteriales. The record is from RNAcentral.